Molecule: long non-coding RNA, 2451 nt
Filed under: Triticum aestivum (bread wheat)
Lineage: Eukaryota; Viridiplantae; Streptophyta; Magnoliopsida; Poales; Poaceae
Description: long non-coding RNA (TAES_LNC026500)
Source: RNAcentral
UCAAGUUGGGGGGACACAUCCAGUUGGUGAUAGACCAGGGGAGACGUUGCUCCAUGAACAUGGGAGUACAAACAGGAGCAGGUGGAUAAACACUCCACGGAGCUCACCAGAAUAAAAAUAGGUAAUCCUUCUCCCCUGCCGUCUUGCAUCUUUAUUCUUGGUUCUUGCUUUUCUAUUUAUGAAGUGCAAUGACAUAUACUACUAUUUUAAUGCUUGCAUACAACUAUAAUUGCUGGGUUUUUUGUGCCAAAUGUUGACUUGUGUUAUUCUAAACUUGUGUACGUGAAAGCACAUUGACCAGCUCAUCUCCACUAUGAUGCAGGGGAAGAAACUGAAUCUGGGGAAGACAUUGUUAAUAUCAUCAGGUUGUCAUGCUUAAGUACAUAUACAAUUAGAUGUGAAGCUCCAAAACAGGGUUUAUAAUCACUCGGUCGUUUCUGUUUCUUUAUUAUGUUAUCAUGAUAAGACCAGAUACAGUUAGAUAUGAAGCUGUUUGUUUGUCGCCCUUUAUGUUAAUGUGAUAUUCAGUAGGGUAGCUCUUUAAUUUAUAUUUUUCUUUCUCUUAGGCAGCAAUGAUGCUCCUUAUAUUGAUGUGAUAUUCUACCAUGUUUUAUCCUAUACAUUACAAUGCCAUUCUGUAUUUAGUAUGCUCAGGAUCAUUUGAUCUGUCUUGUGCUUGUGUUUUCUUUGUUGGUUCAGUCUUAAUGGUACUUAUCCUUAUAGUUCCUUGGGAUUUUUGUCUAUCAUACCUUUUGACCUUUCACUACGUUAGUAUUUUUGACUAAUUCGGCAGUUACAUUGCAAGUUCAAGGAAUAUCAUUGGCACAGCAGAGAGGUUGCAAACAAGAAGUUGAGUUUAUCACCUGGUGGCAUUAAAAUGUAUCAUUAUUCCUCCAGAUGAAGAGGUACCAUUCCCUACUGUUACAAAAUCAAAUAAUUUUGUGUUAUGCCGAUAAGCUUGGUAAAGUUGUGUGCUCACGUCAUAUCAUCAAUCUGUCCUCAUUUGUUAUGCAUGUAAUCUACUGAUUGUAGUAGCCUUAUGUAGAAAAACAAUUAUUUUAUUUAUGUUCUCCCAUCGCAGAACCAUCUUGGGUGAAACUGUUAUUACCACAUUUGAGGGACUGCAACCAUUUAUUGCUGCCUUAAUUUGUUAAAUUAGUUUGAAGACAGCCAUAUGUUUCCAUAAAUUCUGAAUUCUUUACUACACUAAGAUUGAGCGGAAUACAUGGUGUGAUUAGCAAUUGUUCUGUUUUCCGUUGAAAUACAUGUAAUAUUACCACCUACACUCUACUUAUCUCUAAUUAGAUUAUGUAAUGAGCACUGUCUUUAUACAUAUUUUCACAGACAGAAAAUAGCCUUUGCAAAGGAUAAGAGGGCGACAACAGAAUUAAGAUUGCUUUGUGUGUUUGUUGAGUUGGCCUUGAGCUGCUGGGUGGAGGUAUGAUUUUUUGCUUAAUUGCCAAGUGCAUGAAUUGAUUGCCGUGUGUUCUUUUAGUUUCGUGCUUGGAAAUUAAUCAAUUGGUACAAGUUUUAAACUAGCUGCUAAAAAUAUAUUGUUUUAGUUGUAUGUCAACCAGCCAUCACACAUAAAGACGGUUAUGAUUUUGAGUACCCGUUUGAAAACUAAUUUGUUUUGAAAUGUUGGAAUGGAGACCAGGAACACAACACUCAACAAGUGGUCUGAUGUUGAAUUUAGUUGUCCAUUGCCUCCGGCGAAUGUCAUCUCCCAGCUCGUGGCCUUGCCCCCCUAGUAUUUUUCAUACUAUACUAAGCUGCAAAAGCUAUUUUGUUGAUUUUUUUAACUAAUGACAAUACUUCAAAGAGAAGUAAUUAUAAUAAGAUUGUUCCUGCAUGUUUUUCUUUUCAAAAAGUAGCCUCCAUGCUUCUUAAAUCUGGGUACUGUUUUGUACAGAAGCUUUUGUCUAUAGAGAAGGACAUCUGUUUCUGGUACAUACUAUUAAAACUAAUGAGCAAGUUUGCUGCAAUGAUGUUCCACAUAUAUGGUUUGCAGCUCCAUCAAUUAAAUUUGGUGUCAACUUUGUGUACAAUUCUGCGACUUAUAGUUUCACCUAGUUAUUAUGUGAUGGAUUUAGAGGGAUGGAGGUAAGGUUUGGCCAAGUUAAUUUGAGAAACUAAGAUGCCGAAUAGGUUCUUACUAUAUCACAGAUCAAUGGUCCUAGUUCUUGCAAUCGUACUUUUGCAAUUGACAUUUGACAUAAAAUGUACAACCUCCAUGAGUCCUUUCUUUAACAGAUUGAUGAGUCUUUUUGGUGCAGGCUAAUCUGGAAAAGAAGCCAAUUCAAGCUGUAAUUGAGUAACAAAUGAGGUCAUGUUUUUCAUAUGUAGUUGACGAACUUAUGUGUUAUUAGAUGUGCUCUUCCUCCUUUGUUGUAUGCAAAUUAGACGGAUUUGUAUACAAAGUACAUGUGAUUUAUUAAAACUAUGAUUAAU